UUCUCCAAUUGCUCAAUCUAAGUCUAUAGUCAGAAAGAACCAAACACAGAAUCAAAUGAGCUUGAUUAGAGAUUGUGGAGACUAGCUUUGAGAGAAAGAUAGGACAGCAUUGCUACCAUGGACAACUGGACAGCUAGAGAUUAGUCCAAAGGAAGCAAGUCUCUUAUCUUGUUCUUACCCUGUGGUUGAAAUAGAUGGAACAGAUCACCUAGGUCCAUCUCAGAUCGUCCUUCACUGUUC
Molecule: long non-coding RNA, 240 nt
Organism: Dipodomys spectabilis (banner-tailed kangaroo rat)
Lineage: Eukaryota; Metazoa; Chordata; Mammalia; Rodentia; Heteromyidae
Exons: 3
Source: RefSeq, a predicted model, not a curated record